RNAcentral lists this ribosomal RNA (427 nucleotides) under uncultured bacterium. Its description in RNAcentral is "partial 16S ribosomal RNA". It matches the Rfam family "Bacterial small subunit ribosomal RNA", at positions 354 to 796 of the family's 1533-position model. The record is from RNAcentral.
GUGGGGAAUAUUGGGCAAUGGGGGAAACCCUGACCCAGCGACGCCGCGUGAGGGAAGACGGCCUUCGGGUUGUAAACCUCUUUUGUACGGGAAGAAUGAAGUGACGGUACUGUACGAAUAAGUCCCGGCUAACUACGUGCCAGCAGCCGCGGUAAUACGUAGGGGACGAGCGUUGUCCGGAAUUACUGGGCGUAAAGGGCGCGCAGGCUGUGCUGCAAGUCAGCUGUGAAAUGUCUGGGCUUAACCCGGGCAUGCGGUUGAGACUGCAGUGCUGGAGUGCUGUAGAGGCAAGUGGAAUUCCCAGUGUAGCGGUGAAAUGCGUAGAUAUUGGGAAGAACACCGGUGGCGAAGGCGACUUGCUGGGCAGCAACUGACGCUGAGGCGCGAAAGCCAGGGGAGCAAACGGGAUUAGAAACCCCGGUAGUCC